GGAAGGAUCAUUAUUGAAUUCUAGGGGGGGAAGGGGAAGGCAAGGGGACUGUCGCUGGCAGCCAAGGGAGGCAUGUGCACGUCCUUUGCUUUUUCCUCUCUCACACACAACCCACACCUGUGCACUUCUUGUAGGCCCUUGAAAGAGGAUCUAUGCAUUUCAUUUUUUCCACACUCGUCGUAUGUGUAUAGAAUGUAUUCACGUCGGACCUAUCUAUGAUGGGGCUGGCGGUCAACAAAAUCAUACAACUUUCAGCAACGGAUCUCUUGGCUCUCGCAUCGAUGAAGAACGCAGCGAAUUGCGAUAAGUAAUGUGAAUUGCAGAUUUUCAGUGAAUCAUCGAAUCUUUGAACGCACCUUGCGCUCCUUGGUAUUCCGAGGAGCAUGCCUGUUUGAGUGUCAUGAAGUUCUCAACCCAUGUCUUUGAUCAGACGUAGGCUUGGACUUGGGAGCUUGCUGGCGCAAGUCAGCUCUCCUGAAAUGCAUUAGCAAAGGGCUUUGUAGACGUGCACGGCCUUGGACGUGAUAACGAUCGUUCUGGCUGGAGUGUCUCAUGUCUCAUGUCUCAUCUGACAGUCCUGUGCUUCUAAAAUCCUAGUUGGUCAAAAGAGUCUGGCGAGUCUGGCGAAAAGUCUGUCUGAAGCCAUAUUUCAGUUUCAGUUUCGGACGAUCUUACUAGCUGGUCUUUUGUGUCCCACACCUUUUUGGAAACUUGACCUCAAAUCAGGUAGGACUACCCGCUGAACUUAAGCAUAUCAAUAAGCGGAGGAAAAGAAACUAACAAGGAUUCCCCUAGUAACUGCGAGUGAAGCGGGAAGAGCUCAAAUUUUGAAUCUGGCGGUCGUUUUGGCUGUCCGAGUUGUAAUCUAGAGAAGCGUCUUCCGCGCUGGGACCGUGUACAAGUCUCCUGGAAGGGAGCGUCAUAGAGGGUGAGAAUCCCGUCUUUGACACGGACUCCCCCCAGUGCUAUGUGAUGCGCUCUCGACGAGUCGAGUUGUUUGGGAAUGCAGCUCAAAAUGGGUGGUAAAUUCCAUCUAAAGCUAAAUACAGGCGAGAGACCGAUAGCGAACAAGUACCGUGAGGGAAAGAUGAAAAGGACUUUGGAAAGAGAGUUAAACAGUACGUGAAAUUGCUGAAAGGGAAACGCUUGAUGUCAGUCGCGUCGGCCGGGGAUCAACCUUGCGUUCUCGUUGGGUGUAUUUCCUGGUCGACGGGUCAGCAUCAGUUUCGAUCGUCGUACAAGGGUGAGGGGAAUGUGGCACUCUCCGGAGUGUGUUUAUAGCCUUUCAUCGUAUGCGAUGGUCAGGACUGAGGAACUCAGCACGAGCGCGUGUUCACGUUCUGUGCUUAGGAUGCUGGCAUAAUGGCCUUAAGUGACCCGUCUUGAAACACGGACCAAGGAGUCUAACAUGCCUGCGAGUGUUUGGGUGGAAAACCCGAGCGCGAAAUGAAAGUGAAACGUUGAGACCUCUGUCAUGGAGGGCAUCGACGCCCGGACCCAAGUCCUUUGACAAAGGAUCUGCGGUAGAGCAUGCAUGUUGGGACCCGAAAGAUGGUGAACUAUGCCUGAAUAGGGCGAAGCCAGAGGAAACUCUGGUGGAGGCUCGUAGCGAUUCUGACGUGCAAAUCGAUCGUCGAAUUUGGGUAUAGGGGCGAAAGACUAAUCGAACCAUCUAGUAGCUGGUUCCUGC
Molecule: unclassified non-coding RNA, 1690 nt
Filed under: uncultured fungus
Lineage: Eukaryota; Fungi
Description: sequence contains 18S rRNA gene, ITS1, 5.8S rRNA gene, ITS2, 28S rRNA gene
Rfam family: Eukaryotic large subunit ribosomal RNA (bases 713-1690)
Source: RNAcentral